UGGGGUGCCGGGAUAGAAAAUCUAUGCUUGUGUCUUGGCAGAAUCUAGAGUGUUGGGAUGGGGAAGAUGGGUAGAUGUCCCAGUGGAAGUUGAGGUAUCAGAUAUGGGGGGUUCCACUAGGGCUUGGGGUGCCAGGAUGGGGAAUAUAGAUUGUGGUCCUUGGGGGGCUUAGGGUGCUGGGAUGGAGAGGGUAAUUGGGCAUCCCAGUGAGAAUUGUAGUGCUGGGUUGUGGCAGUCCUGGCAGGGUUUAAGGUGCUGGCAUGGGGAGUUUGGACUUGGGUCCCGUUGAGGUCUGAAGUGCCAGGUUGAGGGGUUCUUGGUGGGAUUUGAGAAACUAAGAUGGGGUGAGUUGUUUGGGGAAUGCUGUUAGGGAUCAGGGUGCCAGGAUGGAGGAGGUCCUGGUAGGGUUUGGGGUGCCAGGAUAGGGAGUGGUACAGGUAUCCCUUUGAGGAUUGAGGUUGGAGGGUCCCGGUGAAGUUUGUGGUGCAGUGAUGGGGAGUUUGGGCUGCGGUCCCAGUGGGGUUUGGGAUGCUGAGCUGGGGAUUCUGUUGAGGAUGGGGAGUGCCAAACUGGGGACAUCCCAGGAGAGCUUAGUGUGCUGAGAUGGGGAGAGUGAAUGAGGGUCCUGAUGGGUUUGGAGGUACAGGGAUGGAAAGGACAUGGAGCAUUCUUGAGGCUUUUUGGGUGCCAAGUCAGGGAGGAAGGUGGGGGUCCCAGGAGAAAUCAGGGGGGAUUCUACCUGUGACAGAAUGAUCUGAUACACUGCAGGGUCUACCGAUGGGUACACUUAUCUUCUGAGAGAACUGAGGUCACGCGGCUGAGUUUUCCUCCUUGACUUCCAGACACAGGAACUUGCAUUCAGCUACAAAACCAAGCGGACUGCAAAUCUCAUCAUAUCAUAUGACUCCAAGCAAUAGCCUUAAAGUCAAUGCAGCUUUUGAAGAACCAUUUCCAAGAACUGGUUGCUGGAUGACCAUUUUUCACCUGGGAAUUGCUUCAGGCUCUUUUUGCCCAAGUAUUACAUACUCAAGACAUUUGAACUAGAUGGAUAUUUCUUAACAUUUCAUUUUCUAUGGAUAUCCUGCAAAUUAUUCAUCAAAGACAGUAUUUGGGAUGCAUCAGCAGACUGUGUGUGUGUGUACAAAGGAAGGUUUUCCCAAGGCUCCAUCUCGCCAGUUGUGCAUUCUGCACUCCUGCCAGCCAGCAGUGAUGGUUUCUCCCUGCUGCUCCACUCAGCAAUGGAAAGUUAUCUGAAGCCUUAUUUUCAAAUGCUGCAACUUUUACAAGAGAGCCCAGUAUGUGUGAAAACACACAGGCUAUAAAAGGGAUGAAGAGAAAAAUCCUGAUUUCACCCCUUCCUGCCCCUCACUGCAGAGAGAGGCAGCAAUCCCUUAGUGGUUAUUUGUACUCGACACUUUACUGUGAAACCACAGCCUUGGUUUACCAAAAGCAUGAUUUGCACUUCAAAAUACUUGGAUUUUUAAAACCUGUGCAAAUAGCCCCUAAGGCUUGGCUGCAUUGGUGGUAGAGUCUGUGGGCUCUGACUCCUAAAUUCUGUUACAUUAUUAUAGCAACUAAGAUGUCCCACAGCUGUCUCCAUACCUUUUGCCCCCCAAGGAUUUCUAUCUCUCUGUAGAGGUAAAGAGGUGUAGGAUCCCAUUUGAAUCUGGAGAGGGAGAGGGAAAGGUAGAGGGAGAGCGAUUGGGAGAGGGAGGGGGAAAGGAUCACCUGUUUUUCCCAAAGCCUUGGUUGAAUAAAAGUCUGGAGAGGUCUGUCUUUGUGACCUUACAGAAAUAUGGAUGAUGGUUGUAUACUUACAAUCAAAAAAGCCAAGACACUCCAGUAGUUUCAGGUAGUAAGGGAUGCAAAAAGCAACCCUGGCAAUUUUGUGCAUGUGAAAGGAAGGAUGGAGUAAAUCUCUGAAUUCUCAGAGGGAAAAAAAUCAAAUACUGGAAACCACAGAAAAUACUUACUAUAUUUUUUUUCUCUUUAAAGAAGGAUUAGCCAGGCCGCACUGGCAAGUAAAAUUGGUUUAUAGAGAGUAGAGCAGAGACAGAACAGGACAAGAAUGUGUCAGAAGAUGAGAUGAGGUAAAUCUGAGGUAUGCCAGAGCCUGAAGAAACCUGUGCAGGAAGAGCUAUGAAGUGAGGCCAGGACAGCUGACCUAAACCCAUACUGUAGGGUGUUAUACUCGGCAGUAAAAAUGAGGAAAGAGGAAGAGGGGGGGACUGUCGUAAUAAAAAUGUUCAUUCUGCUAAACAAUUGUUACUUGCAUUGAAACUUUGUUCUCCAAGACAUAGUUGCCCAUCAGAGUGAAAACACCACAGCAAGGAAGAACAUUUCCUUGAUCAAUGAAAACCAAUCUUGACGAAGGAAGUGACAAUUGGAAUAUCAAAGAAAUGCUGGUGCAGGCUGCCCAGAGAAGUUUCCCCUGGAGGUGUUCAAAGCCAGGUUGGAUGGGGCCCUGGGCAGCCUGCCCUGGUGUGUAAUCUAGUGGUUGGCAACUCUACUCAUGGCAGGGGGGUUGGAACUAGAUGAUCUUUGAGGUCCCUUCCAACCCAAACUAUUCUGUGACUCUGCCAGGGCAUCUUCCAUGCCAUUUCCAUGCUACACGAGCAUAACACGUGGACUGAACACAUCUACACUCACAGCACUGAUGAGCAGCAUCAACAAAAGGAGAACUUAGCAGCAUGGAUCAGUUAAGUGUUA
This is a long non-coding RNA of Tympanuchus pallidicinctus (lesser prairie-chicken), 2709 nucleotides long. RefSeq lists it as uncharacterized. The record is from RefSeq and is a predicted model, not a curated record. The transcript has 3 exons. Lineage: Eukaryota; Metazoa; Chordata; Aves; Galliformes; Phasianidae.